CACAUUCCACCUACAAGCUGCAUUUGCACUUCAAGAAGGACAUUCACGAACUAAUUUAAACCGUCCAGAGAAGAAGGAUGACGGUGGGCUAGGAGAUCAUCUCCUAUGAGGAUCAUGUGAGAGAACUGAGGAGACUCCUCUCUACCAGGAGGUAUUUGCUCAAUGGAUGAACGUAUAAACGAAUUACAAAGCAGGCAGCUUGUUUUCAACACUUCAGUGAGAUUUCUAAAUGGACCACUCAUUUAAUAUAAGAAAAUGUCUGAAGGUUAUAGCCAAUCAAGAGACUGACAUGGCGGACCAGAGACCUGGGAUUAAAACAGCUGAGCUAUCUCUAAUAAAAGUUAUAUUGGAGAAUAAGCCUUGGCCCUGUGGCCCUAUUGGCCUCCUAACACGUGUGCCUUCAAAUCCUCAGACUACUUUAUUCCAUUCCCCAACAGUCCUGGACAACAGCCGACCCACUGAAUUUAUCACAUCGUUAAAAAGCAAACUUGACUGUUACUUCAUGGAGACGUGGUGGAGAGCCCAGCAGAGGCUCAGCCUCUGUGUCUGGUCCCAUCUCCCAAGCCCUGCAGUGAGGGAGGGAGGCCAGCCUUUGUGUAGAGGGAGGCCCUGGGCGUGAAUAUGGACACAGGAGCUCAGGAAACCUGUGUCCUCCCCGGUGUCGUCAACAAUCCUGCUGUGUGACCUUGGUUCACUAGGAUCCUUGGUGAUACGAACCCAGAAGAUAAACCUCAUAAUGCCUGUCAUCACCGUGUGUUUAGCAACUCAACAACAACAACAACAACAACAACAACAACAACAACAGUUUUCUCAUAUAACCUUCACUUUCAAGAAUCUAGUAAAUAAUUUUCCAUGAAGGCCCAUGAAAAAAAAUGUCUGAAACGACUUCCCAUAAUUCUCCGACAUCGUAACUACAGUGAACAGAAUCUGGGUGCAGAGAUACAAGGGUUUUAUUCCCAAGUGCAGCAUUUAUUAGCUUUGUAAUUUUGAGAGAUUUCUUAUCUGUGAGA
Panthera uncia (snow leopard) is the source of this 1010-nucleotide long non-coding RNA. RefSeq lists it as uncharacterized. The record is from RefSeq and is a predicted model, not a curated record. Lineage: Eukaryota; Metazoa; Chordata; Mammalia; Carnivora; Felidae. The transcript has 4 exons.